GAGUUUGAUCAUGGCUCAGAGCGAACGCUGGCGGCAGGCCUAAUACAUGCAAGUCGAACGCACCUUCGGGUGAGCGGCGGACGGGUGAGUAACGCGUGGGAACGUGCCCUUUGGUACGGGAUAACUGAGGGAAACUUCAGCUAAUACCGUAUGUGCCCUAUGGGGAAAGAUUUAUCGCCAUUGGAGCGGCCCGCGUUGGAUUAGGUAGUUGGUGAGGUAAAGGCUCACCAAGCCUACGAUCCAUAGCUGGUCUGAGAGGAUGAUCAGCCACACUGGGACUGAGACACGGCCCAGACUCCUACGGGAGGCAGCAGUAGGGAAUCUUGCGCAAUGGGCGAAAGCCUGACGCAGCCAUGCCGCGUGAAUGAUGAAGGUCUUAGGAUUGUAAAAUUCUUUCACCGGGGAAGAUAAUGACGGUACCCGGAGAAGAAGCCCCGGCUAACUUCGUGCCAGCCGCCGCGGUAAC
Molecule: ribosomal RNA, 466 nt
Filed under: uncultured Alphaproteobacteria bacterium
Lineage: Bacteria; Pseudomonadati; Pseudomonadota; Alphaproteobacteria
Also listed under: 1 other name
Description: bacterial SSU rRNA
Rfam family: Bacterial small subunit ribosomal RNA
Source: RNAcentral